UGAGGAAUUUUGCGCAAUGGGAGCAAUCCUGACGCAGCAACGCCGCGUGGGUGAUGAAGGCCUUCGGGUCGUAAAGCCCUGUCAGGUGGGAAGAAUGUCCCGGGACUGAACAGGUUCCGGGAGUGACGGUACCACCAGAGGAAGCACCGGCUAACUCCGUGCCAGCAGCCGCGGUAAUACGGAGGGUGCAAGCGUUAUUCGGAAUUACUGGGCGUAAAGCGCGUGUAGGCGGUCCCGCAAGUCUGAGGUGAAAGCGCCGGGCUUAACCCGGGAAGUGCAUUGGAAACUGUGGGAC
Molecule: ribosomal RNA, 295 nt
Filed under: uncultured prokaryote
Description: partial 16S ribosomal RNA
Rfam family: Bacterial small subunit ribosomal RNA
Source: RNAcentral